CAGCAGCCGCGGUAAUACGUAGGUGGCGAGCGUUGUCCGGAAUUAUUGGGCGUAAAGGGAGCGCAGGCGGACAUAUAAGUCCAUCUUAAAAGUGCGGGGCUCAACCCCGUGAGGGGAUGGAAACUGUAUGCCUUGAGUGUAGGAGAGGAAAGCGGAAUUCCCAGUGUAGCGGUGAAAUGCGUAGAUAUUGGGAGGAACACCAGUGGCGAAGGCGGCUUUCUGGACUGCGACUGACGCUGAGGCUCGAAAGCCAGGGGAGCGAACGGGAUUAGAUACCCCUGUAGUCCCUGUCUCUUAUACC
RNAcentral lists this ribosomal RNA (301 nucleotides) under uncultured bacterium. RNAcentral describes it as "partial 16S ribosomal RNA". It matches the Rfam family "Bacterial small subunit ribosomal RNA", at positions 509 to 808 of the family's 1533-position model. The record is from RNAcentral.